AUUGAACGCUGGCGGAAUGCUUUACACAUGCAAGUCGAACGGCAGCACGGGGCAACCUGGUGGCGAGUGGCGAACGGGUGAGUAAUAUAUCGGAACGUGCCCAAUCGUGGGGGAUAACGUAGCGAAAGUUACGCUAAUACCGCAUACGACCUACGGGUGAAAGCGGAGGACCUUCGGGCUUCGCGCAGAUAGAUGAGCCGACGUCGGAUUAGCUAGUUGGCGGGGUAAAGCCCACCAAGGCGACGAUCCGUAGCUGGUCUGAGAGGAUGAUCAGCCACACUGGAACUGAGACACGGUCCAGACUCCUACGGGUGGCAG
This 318-nucleotide ribosomal RNA is filed under the name uncultured Pseudomonadota bacterium. RNAcentral's name for it is "bacterial SSU rRNA". It matches the Rfam family "Bacterial small subunit ribosomal RNA", at positions 30 to 351 of the family's 1533-position model. Lineage: Bacteria; Pseudomonadati; Pseudomonadota. The record is from RNAcentral.